RNAcentral lists this ribosomal RNA (300 nucleotides) under uncultured Flavobacterium sp. RNAcentral's name for it is "bacterial SSU rRNA". It matches the Rfam family "Bacterial small subunit ribosomal RNA", at positions 496 to 795 of the family's 1533-position model. Lineage: Bacteria; Pseudomonadati; Bacteroidota; Flavobacteriia; Flavobacteriales; Flavobacteriaceae. The record is from RNAcentral.
GCUAACUCCGUGCCAGCAGCCGCGGUAAUACGGAGGAUCCAAGCGUUAUCCGGAAUCAUUGGGUUUAAAGGGUCCGUAGGCGGUUUGGUAAGUCAGUGGUGAAAGCCCGCAGCUCAACUGUGGAACGGCCAUUGAUACUGCCAGACUUGAAUUACAAGGAAGUAACUAGAAUAUGUAGUGUAGCGGUGAAAUGCUUAGAUAUUACAUGGAAUACCAAUUGCGAAGGCAGGUUACUACUUGUGGAUUGACGCUGAUGGACGAAAGCGUGGGGAGCGAACAGGAUUAGAUACCCCUGUAGUC